Molecule: ribosomal RNA, 253 nt
Filed under: uncultured bacterium
Lineage: Bacteria
Description: partial 16S ribosomal RNA
Rfam family: Bacterial small subunit ribosomal RNA
Source: RNAcentral
UACGUAGGGUGCAAGCGUUAAUCGGAAUUACUGGGCGUAAAGCGUGCGCAGGCGGUUGUGCAAGACAGAUGUGAAAUCCCCGGGCUCAACCUGGGAACUGCAUUUGUGACUGCACGGCUUGAGUGCGGCAGAGGGGGAUGGAAUUCCGCGUGUAGCAGUGAAAUGCGUAGAUAUGCGGAGGAACACCGAUGGCGAAGGCAAUCCCCUGGGCCUGCACUGACGCUCAUGCACGAAAGCGUGGGGAGCAAACAGG